RNAcentral lists this ribosomal RNA (1070 nucleotides) under uncultured bacterium. RNAcentral's name for it is "bacterial SSU rRNA". It matches the Rfam family "Bacterial small subunit ribosomal RNA", at positions 94 to 1139 of the family's 1533-position model. The record is from RNAcentral.
AGUGGCGCACGGGUGAGUAACACGUAGGUAAUCUACCUUUGGAUUGGGAAUAACCACGGGAAACUGUGGCUAAUACCGAAUAAUGCAGCGGCACCUAAUGGUGACAGUUGUUAAAGCGGGGGAUCGCAAGACCUCGCGUCUGAAGAGGAGCCUGCGGCAGAUUAGCUAGUUGGUAAGGUAACGGCUUACCAAGGCUAUGAUCUGUAGCCGGCCUGAGAGGGCGGUCGGCCACACUGACACUGACAUACGGGUCAGACUCCUACGGGAGGCAGCAGUCGGGAAUUUUGGGCAAUGGGCGAAAGCCUGACCCAGCAACGCCGCGUGAAGGAUGAAAUCCUUCGGGAUGUAAACUUCGCAAGAACGGGAAGAAUAAGUAAGAGUUAAUAUCUCUUAUGAUGACGGUACUGUUUGUAAGCUCCGGCUAACUCCGUGCCAGCAGCCGCGGUAAUACGGGGGGAGCAAGCGUUGUUCGGAUUUACUGGGCGUAAAGGGCGGGUAGGCGGCCACUGCAAGUCGGUUGUGAAAUCUCCGGGCUUAACCCGGAAAGGUCAAUCGAUACUGCAGGGCUAGAGUGCAGAAGGGGCAACUGGAAUUCUCGGUGUAGCGGUGAAAUGCGUAGAUAUCGAGAGGAACACCUGCGGCGAAGGCGGGUUGCUGGGCUGACACUGACGCUGAACUGCGAAAGCUAGGGGAGCGAACGGGAUUAGAUACCCCGGUAGUCCUAGCCUUAAACGAUGAAUGCUUGGUGUCUGGGGUUUUAUAGUCCCCGGGUGCCGUCGCUAACGCUUUAAGCAUUCCGCCUGGGGAGUACGGUCGCAAGACUGAAACUCAAAGGAAUUGACGGGGACCCGCACAAGCGGUGGAGCAUGUGGUUUAAUUCGACGCAACGCGAAGAACCUUACCUGGGCUAGAAUGCCUCUGACAACCCUAGAGAUAGGGCCUUCUGGGUAAAACCAGACAGAGUGCAAGGUGCUGCAUGGCUGUCGUCAGCUCGUGUCGUGAGAUGUUGGGUUAAGUCCCGCAACGAGCGCAACCCUUAUCAAUAGUUGCCAGCGGUUCGGCCGGGCACU